This 462-nucleotide ribosomal RNA is filed under the name uncultured bacterium. Its description in RNAcentral is "partial 16S ribosomal RNA". It matches the Rfam family "Bacterial small subunit ribosomal RNA", at positions 28 to 506 of the family's 1533-position model. The record is from RNAcentral.
GACGAACGCUGGCGGCGGGCUUAACACAUGCAAGUCGAACGGUGAACCUCUUCGGAGGGGAUCAGUGGCGAACGGGUGAGUAACACGUGGGCAACCUGCCCCCGUCUCUGGGAUAACUCCAAGAAAUUGGGGCUAAUACCGUAUGUUCACCGCUUCCCGCAUGGGUGGUGGUGGAAAGGGUUUCCGGCUGGGGAUGGGCCCGCGGCCUAUCAGCUUGUUGGGUGGGGUGUGGCCUACCGAGGCGAUGAGGGGUAGCGGGCCUGGGAGGGGUACCGGCCACACGGCGACUGAGACACGGCGCAGACUCCUACGGGAGGCAGCAGUGGGGAAUAUUGCGCAACGGGCGGAAGCCCGACGAAGAGAAGCCGCGUGGGGGAUGACGGCCUUCGGGUUGUAAACCUCUUUCAGCAGGGACGAAGCGCAAGUGACGGAACCUGCAGAAGAAACACCGGCAAACUACGU